AGUGAACGCUGGCGGUAGGCCUAACACAUGCCAGUCGAACGGCAGCACAGUAAGAGCUUGCUCUUACGGGUGGCGAGUGGCGGACGGGUGAGGAAUACAUCGGAAUCUACUUUUUCGUGGGGGAUAACGUAGGGAAACUUACGCUAAUACCGCAUACGACCUACGGGUGAAAGCAGGGGAUCUUCGGACCUUGCGCGAUUGAAUGAGCCGAUGUCGGAUUAGCUAGUUGGCGGGGUAAAGGCCCACCAAGGCGACGAUCCGUAGCUGGUCUGAGAGGAUGAUCAGCCACACUGGAAAUGAGACACGGUCCAGACUCCUACGGGAGGGAGCAGUGGGGAAUAUUGGACAAUGGGCGCAAGCCUGAUCCAGCCAUACCGCGUGGGUGAAGAAGGCCUUCGGGUUGUAAAGCCCUUUUGUUGGGAAAGAAAAGCAGCAGGUUAAUACCCCGCUGUUCUGACGGUACCCAAAGAAUAAGCACCGGCUAACUUCGUG
RNAcentral lists this ribosomal RNA (492 nucleotides) under uncultured bacterium. RNAcentral's name for it is "partial 16S ribosomal RNA". It matches the Rfam family "Bacterial small subunit ribosomal RNA", at positions 29 to 507 of the family's 1533-position model. The record is from RNAcentral.